ACAGAACGUUCGGUAACAAUCCUACAAAUCGCUCCUUAAGUAAUUACUCCUUAGCAAACCAUAACGAAGUGCUCCACCACCAUAUCUGUAGAUUAAGCCACACUGCUAACUCAAUGUGCUUUGCUUAAAUUUCUCAGCCCUCAGCCUUACUAAGGAUACCUCCAUUGAUGAAGGUAGAGUGAAUUUCUCUCACUGAGCUGAGCUGUUAAUGACCUUUUCCAAUAUGCUAACAGUGAAAUGGUCAACGUACUUUACAGGCUGUGCGGGGGGGAGUGGGGGCUCCAUGUCCAUUUUGCUUGGGGCCCCCAAAUUCCUUGAAACGGCCCUGCCAGUGCGUACUGCUCCUAUGGAAAAAGAUUAUACGUUAGUGUGCACUGUACUGUAGGGCAUCCUAUGGGCAGGCUCCAAGUGCACUAUCCUCGAAGACACAAGGAUCGUCAGACAAGCUGUUGCUCAUCCCCAGUCGUCUAAGUGAUAUAUCAUUGAAAUGACCAACGAAUGAAUGGAGGUGGCUGUUGGCAUAGUCACUGUGUGUUGACGAAAGGCUUGGAGAUACCAGGAUGGACACUGCAGUGGAUAGCAGGAGGAAGUUGGAGUAAAUGGCAUCACUCAGAACAUCUCGCAACACCACUUGACCAGUAUAUAAAAGAAACUGACGGUAUUCCGUCGCCUUCCACCUGUCAACUUCUUUUAGUGACCUUGGUUUUCUGGCAAAUUCUUUAGGAAUGUAUGGCCUCAUGUUAACUAGUUCAUCAGAGAUUUUGUUCACAUCUCUGGAUGGUAGACGUACAGUCAAUGGGCCUUUUAGCCAUAGAUGAAUAAGCCGUCUCACCACACCCAGGCACACCAAGUGCAUGUAAUCAAGAGGUACUUGAGAGACCAUCCCAACAUCUAAGCCCAUAAAGGGGUGGGGACCUAGGUGAUGGUCUUCAUCUAGCUGGUCAGAAAAUGAGGCGUCAGUUCUCAGGGUGCUAUUCGGUAGGGGAGAAGUCAUUCGAUUGUUGAUGUACACACCAUUGUGAGUGCAUUUGUCACAGCCAUGAUAUCCAUUAAAAGACUUUGUGUUUUUGACAAAUGAUCUA
Alosa sapidissima (American shad) is the source of this 1082-nucleotide long non-coding RNA. RefSeq lists it as uncharacterized. Lineage: Eukaryota; Metazoa; Chordata; Actinopteri; Clupeiformes; Clupeidae. The transcript is spliced from 4 exons. The record is from RefSeq and is a predicted model, not a curated record.